CGCUCUGCAUAUGCGCAUACACAAAACAUUGGAACAAUACAGAAAAGAUUAGCAUGGCCCCUGUGCAAGGAUGACACACAAAUCUGUGAGGCAUUCCAUUUUUUU
Molecule: small nuclear RNA, 105 nt
Organism: Cercocebus atys (sooty mangabey)
Lineage: Eukaryota; Metazoa; Chordata; Mammalia; Primates; Cercopithecidae
Source: Ensembl